GUCGGAUUCAGCAGCGCCCGGAACCAGAGACGCAGGCGAAGGACGAAGCGGUCGGUGGAUCUGCAGACGCCUCCUCCUCCAUCCCCGCGGCCGCGAGUAGCGCCCAGUCAACCCGAGCCCCUCGCGAGGUACCACCGCGCGUGCGCCGUGCCUGCAGACGGCUGGUUAAGCAGGUAUACUCUGUCAGCGGCGGCGCGCGGGGGCCGCGGCGCCCUCCUCCGCCCGUCGCGGUCCGGCCAGCACCAUUAUCCGCGCCUAAUCUAUUGAUUGGCGGCGGUGGCGUCCGCUCUUCUCUGUUGCGGCCUCCGGUGCUUCGUUGGAGCAGCCGAGCAGGAUAUUUUUCCUCGCUUUUUUCCGCUUUGCUCAGUGGGUGGGGUUGGGGGCAUGCCGGCACGCUCGGCGGAGCGGACAGAAGAGAAGAGGGUGGGGCCGGAGGAGACAGAGCC
This 446-nucleotide unclassified non-coding RNA is filed under the name Zea mays. RNAcentral describes it as "misc RNA Zm00001eb247340". The record is from RNAcentral. Lineage: Eukaryota; Viridiplantae; Streptophyta; Magnoliopsida; Poales; Poaceae.